GAUGAACGCUGACAGAAUGCUUAACACAUGCAAGUCUUUGGCGAAGCUGUGCUUGCACAGCCUAGCCAAGGCGGACGGGUGAGUAACGCGUAAGGAACUUGCCCUGCAGUCAGGGAUAACAGACGGAAACGACUGAUAAGACCUGGUAAAGUCAGGCGGACUCAUGUCCAGCCUGAUGAAAAGAGAUGCUGCAGGAGAGCCUUGCGUCCUAUUAGCUUGUUGGUGGGGUAACGGCCCACCAAGGCGAUGAUAGGUAGCCGGCCUGAGAGGGUGGACGACCACAAGGGGACUGAGAUACGGCCCUUACUCCUACGGGAGGCAGCAGUGGGGAAUAUUGGACAAUGGGGGCAACCCUGAUCCAGCAAUUCUGUGUGCACGAUGAAGGUUUUCGGAUUGUAAAGUGCUUUCAGCAGGGAAGAAAAAAUGACGGUACCUGCAGAAGAAGCGACGGCUAAAUACGUG
This 462-nucleotide ribosomal RNA is filed under the name uncultured bacterium. RNAcentral's name for it is "partial 16S ribosomal RNA". It matches the Rfam family "Bacterial small subunit ribosomal RNA", at positions 28 to 507 of the family's 1533-position model. The record is from RNAcentral.